Molecule: long non-coding RNA, 854 nt
Filed under: Sinocyclocheilus grahami
Lineage: Eukaryota; Metazoa; Chordata; Actinopteri; Cypriniformes; Cyprinidae
Description: lncRNA (ENSSGRG00000031970.1)
Source: RNAcentral
UAUAAUUUGGUUCCUUAAUUAUGAUUUAACAAAGGAGAACCCAGCACUGUCAGUUUAAAGCCCUGGACAGCGUCUUAAGAAAGUCUGGUCAAUGAAACGUUGAAAGGCGUCCAACUGUCCCUAAAAAUAGCAAGUAUGGAUCCUGAAACCAUCGCCUUCUGUUUCCUUCCACUCUCAGUGCCGCAAAGGAGUGCAACCCGUCAGGUGAUAAACACCGUCUGAUGUCGCUUCUGUCAGCUCCAAGUUAGCAGAGACAAAGAAAACCAGUAUUUCAAAGGGAAACCUUUGUGGUUCAAUUGGUGUUGAAAGCGCACAAAGUGAUCAGCAGAAUACUGGAGAAUUUGACUGCGUUUGUGGAAGACUGAACGAGGGCAAUUCAUCGGUCUUAUGUCUCUCUUCAUCGAUUAAACAGAGCUCUUAUCUCAUCACCUGGCACCUUUGUUUUGGAUUUGUCAAGGAUUUCCUAAAUCGAGAGUGGGUAUACACGACGGGUUUUAAUCCAAAUCGGGAUCUAUACAUCCAAACUGGGAUCUAUGAGCGGAAAAGUGGCUAAGCCUAAAGAAGAAAAGGAUGCUUCAAAGGAAUGACGUGUUGGUGGAUCUCUGUUUGGAGUUUAAUGACUGGCGACCUUCUUUAAAGAAAAGACCACACCACAGGACACCGCCUGACACCACUGGAGCUCCUCAUUAACUUACAACCAGCUCAACACACACACACACACACACACACGUGCGCUUAUAUCCACAAUAUAUUCCAUAUAUUUAACAAAUCCACAUACACUUACCUGUACCAUCAAUAUAAACAUUUCAUAUAUUUAAGAAGCUAUUCUAUAUUAAACUUUAGUAGUAUUACCU